GGGUCAGUAGGUCGGUCGUGCCACUGGUAUGAACUGGUUUCACUGAUUCCUCCCUCUUGUAGAACCGUGAUGCCAUUAAUUUGGUGUUGCGGGGAAACAGGACUGUUACUUUGAAAAAUUAGAGUGUUUAAAGCAAGCUAACGCUUGAAUACAUUAGCAUGGAAUAAUGAAAUAGGACGUCUGCCUUAUUUUGUUGGUUUCUAGGAUGGACGUAAUGAUUAA
Molecule: ribosomal RNA, 222 nt
Filed under: uncultured Glomeromycotina
Lineage: Eukaryota; Fungi; Glomeromycota
Description: partial 18S ribosomal RNA
Rfam family: Eukaryotic small subunit ribosomal RNA (bases 38-222)
Source: RNAcentral